This is a long non-coding RNA of Lotus japonicus, 938 nucleotides long. RefSeq lists it as uncharacterized. The record is from RefSeq and is a predicted model, not a curated record. Lineage: Eukaryota; Viridiplantae; Streptophyta; Magnoliopsida; Fabales; Fabaceae. The transcript is spliced from 3 exons.
GUACCACUACCACAAAAAGGGGGUUGGGCAGCAGCUAUGGGGUAGCGGUUCAAUGUUAGUGCUGCCCAAGUGUUAUAAAAAAAAAAAUUACAUAAAAGCAACAAUUUUUAAAAUUAAAAAAAAUAUAAAAACUCUAUCUUAUAUGGAACCGCUACCCAAGUUGCAAUUCUGGUUGUUAGGGAGCUGUUAAUUGAACCACUACCCAAGUUAAUAUAUUUUUCCCUAAAUUAAAUUUCACAAAACCCUAACCGUGAAUCCCUUUUCUCUUCCCUCACUCGACUGCACGCUGCAAACCUUGCUCCCUUGUAACCUCUCCCCAUCUGAACCACAAUCCUCCGCUGCUAGUCCACUUUUCUCAACCCUUGCUCGAUGCCGUAACUCUUCCUUGCUGUUGUAACUGUCGCACAUUCUGCAGGUGUUUCCUUCACUUCCGCCAGUGCUCGACGCUCGACACAAGCUCGACAGUCCGCCGGCAGCGCACCCACCACACCAGAGGCUCCCCUUCAACGACUCUUCCUCUGUGAUAAGUUCAUGCUCGAAGACUACAAUCCUUGAAGGCACUUACAUAUUCUCCUUCAACCAACUCUGAAAUUUUCUCCAGAUUGUAUAAAAUUGUAUUUGGGAUACUAGAGAAGGUUCGUGCUUUCCUACUAGAGAAGGUUGGUGAUACUCCACAAAAGAAAAAGAAAGGCAUACUUGGUGCUAAAGGUGUGAUAAAGAAGUAAGAUCAUGGCUUUGAAGCUUUCUUUCUUUUAUCCUUAUAUACAUGUUUCCUACUGGUUUUGUCUCUCCUCUUAUUUCUUUUUUAGUGUUUUUUUUUUGAAAGAAAGAAUUGUAUAUUGAAGAAAACUUGUUAACACUCCUGAUAUUCGAGAGAUCUAAGCCUUUGCUACUGUGAAGGAAGACUAAUUGCAAGGAAUGAAAGGUGAUUGAUUUUU